ACGCUGGCGGCAGGCCUAACACAUGCAAGUCGAGCGGUAGAGAGAAGCUUGCUUCUCUUGAGAGCGGCGGACGGGUGAGUAAUGCCUAGGAAUCUGCCUGGUAGUGGGGGAUAACGUUCGGAAACGGACGCUAAUACCGCAUACGUCCUACGGGAGAAAGCAGGGGACCUUCGGGCCUUGCGCUAUCGGAUGAGCCUAGGUCGGAUUAGCUAGUUGGUGGGGUAAUGGCUCACCAAGGCGACGAUCCGUAACUGGUCUGAGAGGAUGAUCAGUCACACUGGAACUGAGACACGGUCCAGACUCCUACGGGAGGCAGCAGUGGGGAAUAUUGGACAAUGGGCGAAAGCCUGAUCCAGCCAUGCCGCGUGUGUGAAGAAGGUCUUCGGAUUGUAAAGCACUUUAAGUUGGGAGGAAGGGCAGUAAAUUAAUACUUUGCUGUUUUGACGUUACCGACAGAAUAAGCACCGGCUAACUCUGUGCCAGCAGCCGCGGUAAUACAGAGGGUGCAAGCGUUAAUCGGAAUUACUGGGCGUAAAGCGCGCGUAGGUGGUUCGUUAAGUUGGAUGUGAAAUCCCCGGGCUCAACCUGGGAACUGCAUUCAAAACUGACGAGCUAGAGUAUGGUAGAGGGUGGUGGAAUUUCCUGUGUAGCGGUGAAAUGCGUAGAUAUAGGAAGGAACACCAGUGGCGAAGGCGACCACCUGGACUGAUACUGACACUGAGGUGCGAAAGCGUGGGGAGCAAAC
RNAcentral lists this ribosomal RNA (745 nucleotides) under uncultured bacterium. Its description in RNAcentral is "bacterial SSU rRNA". It matches the Rfam family "Bacterial small subunit ribosomal RNA", at positions 33 to 773 of the family's 1533-position model. The record is from RNAcentral.